Non-coding RNA from Stegodyphus mimosarum, 72 nucleotides. The record is from Rfam. Lineage: Eukaryota; Metazoa; Arthropoda; Arachnida; Araneae; Eresidae.
GCUUUCGUGGUGUAACGGUUAGCACACUCUGCGCGUAUUCCAGAGGUCCAGGUUCGAGUCCCGGCGAAGGCA